GCAGAUAAGAACCAUUCGGCCCAUCUAGUCUGCCCAAUUUUAUAAAUACUUUAAUUAGUUCCUAGUCUUAUCUUAUAGUUAAGAUAGCCUUAUGCCUAUCCCACGCAUGCUUUACUGCUUUACAUGCUUUACCACGCAACUCCUUUACUGUGUUAACCUCUACCACUUCAGCUGGAAGGCUAUUCCAUGCAUCCACUACCCUCUCAGUAAAGUAAUACUUCCU
Non-coding RNA from Pelobates cultripes (western spadefoot toad), 223 nucleotides. The record is from the annotation of a GenBank genome assembly. NCBI's taxonomy places the organism in Eukaryota, Metazoa, Chordata, Amphibia, Anura, Pelobatidae.